This 497-nucleotide ribosomal RNA is filed under the name uncultured bacterium. Its description in RNAcentral is "partial 16S ribosomal RNA". It matches the Rfam family "Bacterial small subunit ribosomal RNA", at positions 28 to 507 of the family's 1533-position model. The record is from RNAcentral.
GAUGAACGCUGGCGGCGUGCCUAAUACAUGCAAGUCGAGCGAACGGACGAGAAGCUUGCUUCUCUGAUGUUAGCGGCGGACGGGUGUGUAACACGUGGAUAACCUACCUAUAAUAGUGGGAUAACUUCGGGAAAGCGGAGCUAAUACCGGAGAAUAUUUUGAACCGCAUGGUGCAAAAGUGAAAGACGGUCUUGCUGUCACUUAUAGAUGGAUCUCCGCUGCAUUAGCGAGUUGGUCAGGUAACGGCUUACCAAGGCGACGAUGCAUAGACGAACUGAGAGGGUGAUCGGCGGCCCGGGAACUGAGACACGCUCAAGGCUCCUACGGGAGGCAGCAGUAGGCAAUCGUCCGCAGUGGGCGAGAGCCUGACGCAGCAACGCGGCGUGAGUGAUGAAAGUCUUCGGAUCGUAAAACUCUGUUAUUAGGGAAAAACAUAUGUGUAAGUAACUGUGCCCAUCUUGACGGUACCUAGUAAGAAAGCCACGGCUAACUACGUG